Long non-coding RNA from Vidua chalybeata, 430 nucleotides. RefSeq lists it as uncharacterized. The record is from RefSeq and is a predicted model, not a curated record. The transcript is spliced from 3 exons. Lineage: Eukaryota; Metazoa; Chordata; Aves; Passeriformes; Viduidae.
AGCACUGAGCUCAUCACAAACCAUGGCAAAGGCUUCAGGACGGCAGGACACCAGGACAUUCCUGCAAGGGGUGCACAGCCCUCCCUUCCACAUACCUUGUGCAACCUCCCUGUAAAGCUGCUGGUGACAGUGACACCAUGUCCUCCUCAGUUUGUCUUAGAUCCUGAAGCCUGAGCAGUGUGCAAGGGCUCAGCCAAACCCGAUUUCAAUGGUGCCGUGCCCAUUCGCAUCAGACAAAGCCUAUGGAGAUCCAAAUCAGAAACCCUGCCCAUACCACUCCUUGUGGGUCACCGUGGGUUUCAGGAGGGAGGAAAAACUGUGGAACAAGAACACGCCAAGAGCCUGAAACCUCACAGAGGCAGCAAUUUAAAGGAUUUCAAAGGCUGUUUCCAUAAGCCUUUGGGGACUCCAAUGGAGCAUAUUGAUUAAA